Molecule: ribosomal RNA, 567 nt
Filed under: uncultured bacterium
Lineage: Bacteria
Description: bacterial SSU rRNA
Rfam family: Bacterial small subunit ribosomal RNA
Source: RNAcentral
AUUCCUACGGGAGGCAGCAGUAGGGAAUAUUGGUAAUCUGGGAAACCGGGAACCAGCAACGCCGCGUGCGCGAUGAAGGCCUUCGGGUUGUAAAGCGCUUUUUAAAGGGAUGAGGAAGGACAGUACCUUUAGAAUAAGCCUCGGCUAACUACGUGCCAGCAGCCGCGGUAAAACGUAGGAGGCGAGCGUUAUCCGGAUUUACUGGGCGUAAAGCGUGUGCAGGCGGUUUGAUAAGUUGGAUGUGAAAGCUCCUGGCUUAACCGGGAGAGGUCGUUCAAAACUAUCAGACUAGAGAGUGGUAGAGGGAGAUGGAAUUCCGCGUGUAGUGGUGAAAUGCGUAGAUAUGCGGAGGAACACCAGUGGCGAAAGCGGUCUCCUGGCCCAUUUCUGACGCUCAGACACGAAAGCUAAGGUAGCAAACGGGAUUAGAGACCCCGGUAGUCUUAGCUGUAAACGAUGUGAACUUAGUGUCGGUGGGGUUAAAUCCAUCGGUACUGAAGCUAACGCGAUAAGUUCACCGCCUGGGGACUACGGCCGCAAGGUUAAAACUCAAAGGAAUUGACGGAU